AUGCAAAUUCAUUCCUUUGUAGCGGAUAUAAUUACUAUUGCAGCUUUGGCCAUGCGAGAUGGCCUUGUGUUUGCGAACGCCCUUGGAUGUAAUCGAGUGGAAGCGGAAUCAGAUUCUCUGCAGGUCAUCAAUUUUUGCAAUGGUCAAACAACUUGGUGGGACAUUGCAGCGCCCAUUUUCGGAGAAUGUCUAGACACUAGUAAUUCAAUUGGAAAGGUCAUUUUUAAGCACUGUUAUCGAUCUUGUAAUCAAGCGGCUCAUGUGCUAGCUCAUUUUUGUUAUUGUAAUAAGACUUCUUUUAGCUGGUUGGACGAGCCUCCUGACAUUGUUGUCAGCAGGAUCAUAGACGAUGUAAGCCUAUUUUAA
RNAcentral lists this ribosomal RNA (366 nucleotides) under Triticum aestivum (bread wheat). RNAcentral's name for it is "partial small subunit ribosomal RNA". Lineage: Eukaryota; Viridiplantae; Streptophyta; Magnoliopsida; Poales; Poaceae. The record is from RNAcentral.